ACUCCUACGGGAGGCAGCAGUGGGGAAUCUUGGACAAUGGGGCGAACCCUGAUCCAGCCAUGCCGCGUGAGUGAUGAAGGCCUUAAGGUCGUAAAGCUCUUUCGCCUGUGAUGAUAAUGACAGUAGCAGGUAAAGAAACCCCGGCUAACUCCGUGCCAGCAGCCGCGGUAAUACGGAGGGGUUAGCGUUGUUCGGAAUUACUGGGGCGUAAAGCGCGCGUAGGCGGAUUAGUCAGUUAGAGGUGAAAUCCCAGGGCUCAACCCUGGAACUGCCUUUAAUACUGCUAGUCUUGAGUUCGAGAGAGGUGAGUGGAAUUCCGAGUGUAGAGGUGAAAUUCGUAGAUAUUCGGAGGAACACCAGUGGCGAAGGCGGCUCACUGGCUCGAUACUGACGCUGAGGUGCGAAAGUGUGGGGAGCAAACAGGAUUAGAUACCCUGGUAGGAUAGCG
This 448-nucleotide ribosomal RNA is filed under the name uncultured bacterium. RNAcentral's name for it is "bacterial SSU rRNA". It matches the Rfam family "Bacterial small subunit ribosomal RNA", at positions 335 to 799 of the family's 1533-position model. The record is from RNAcentral.